RNAcentral lists this long non-coding RNA (880 nucleotides) under Marmota monax (woodchuck). The record is from RNAcentral. Lineage: Eukaryota; Metazoa; Chordata; Mammalia; Rodentia; Sciuridae.
AAGAGAUCUGUCCAGCUUUGCACGUUGAAUGACCAGCCAAAUGGGACCCUGAACCCAGUGGCCCUAAUAUCAUUCUGUAUGCUUAGCCUCCAAGCAGAGCUGCCUCCGGGUAGACGCCACUGAACCAAGGCAGAGAGCAGAGGGACACCAGCUCCGGUCGUGACCUUGUGAGUGGCAGGAGGACAUGCCUGCCUCCCACUGACUGCUCAGACCCACACCAAUCUCCAUCAUAGGUGAGGACACCGAGGCUCAGGAGGUCCAGACGGGCCUCAAGUGUGGAGGUCAGGAAGAGGCGAGGCUAAAGCCAGACGCUGCCCUCCAGCCCUCCCUCUGCUCCAUGCUGCGUACCCACUGAACCCCCAAACUGCACAGACUUCUCCUUGGUCCAGAGUCUCCCUUCUGGGCUUUGGCUGACCAGGCCUGGGAGGCCUGGGUCCUCACUGGCCUGCAGUCCCCCUGCCUGGCUACCCCCCUCCACCCUGUUCCACUGGCACCUCCAGUGCCCACCCCGGGAGCCCCUGUCUCGGCUGCAGACAGUGGGAAGUUGAACCCUUUGCUCGUGUCCAGGAAGAGAGGAGAGGGGCACCCUCUGUCCUGGGGUGGUCAGGGAGGGCUCCCUGGAGGAGGUGAGUUCGAUGCUCCUACCUGCAGGGGAGAGGAGGUGGGCCUGAGGCCAGAGGCUCCACACCCUGGAGCAACCAGCUUCCCGGGCCCUAAGGAAGGGGUGCGGCCAGGGUAGGUGGCCCCAUCACUCGAACGUGCUGCCAGCUCAUUUGGGUCGUUAGCACCUAAAGAGGGUGUAAAAGUGACUUACGAGCUGAAAUCAGGUGCUCGGGCAUAAACACGCCAGGCCCAUGAUUGAUCUGACUGGGUAAAUAGC